UCUUCCCAGACGAAGAGCUUUACAACCCAUAGGGCCUUCUAUCACUCACGCGGCAUCGGCUGCGAUCAGAGCUUGCUCCCAUUGUGCCAAUAUUCCCCA
Molecule: ribosomal RNA, 99 nt
Filed under: uncultured Alphaproteobacteria bacterium
Lineage: Bacteria; Pseudomonadati; Pseudomonadota; Alphaproteobacteria
Description: partial 16S ribosomal RNA
Source: RNAcentral